RNAcentral lists this ribosomal RNA (750 nucleotides) under Triticum aestivum (bread wheat). Its description in RNAcentral is "partial small subunit ribosomal RNA". Lineage: Eukaryota; Viridiplantae; Streptophyta; Magnoliopsida; Poales; Poaceae. The record is from RNAcentral.
AUGGGGGGCAUGGGUUUUAGGGAUAUGAGGGCCUUUAACCAGGCCUUGUUGGCCAAACAGGCCUGGAGAUUACUAGACACGACGGAUAGCUUAUGUGCUCAUUUACUGAAAGCAAAGUACUAUCCCUCUGGUCAUCUGCUUGAUAUGGUCUUCCCUGGCAAUGGCUCUAUAGUUUGGAAGGGGAUUUUGCAUGGACUGGAGCUGUUGAAGAAGGGGGUCAUAUGGCGCAUGGGCAAUGGUACUUCAAUCCGUACAUGGCGGGACCCUUGGAUUCCGCGGCCCUACUCCUUCCGGCCAAUUUCUCCAAAAGGUUCAUGUCGUUUUCACCAUGUAUCGGAUUUCUUGGAUGACAAUGGUGUGUGGAAAGUGGACUGCUUGACAGGAGUGUUUUGGCCAAUGGACGUUGUUCAAAUCCUAACAAUCAGAACCUCACCUCGACAGCGUUCUGAUUUUCUAUCUUGGUUCCCGAAGAAGUGUGGUAUGUUUACGGUCAAAAGCGCUUACAAACUAGCAACUGAAGAGCACAACAGUAUAUACGAUGUUGGUGCCUCAAGCACGAACCCGAACGGUAAUCGUACUUUGUGGAAUCGUGUUUGGAAGUCACCAAUGCCUCAGAAAAUGAAGAUCACAACUUGGAAGGUGGUGACUGGUAUGCUAGCCACACAACAUACAAGAGGAUCAGACAUCUCUCUACACGAUCAACGUGCCCUCUAUGCGGAGUGGAAGAGGAAAGCACAUUUCAUGCGUUGA